UGAGUAUUGGACCGGUUUGGAGAGGCCCAAACCCAUCUCCCUCUUUUUCUCUUCUCCCUCUCUCCCAGUUUUCCUCCCGAGCCCCUCCCCCUGCCGGAAAGUUCUGGCCGUCCGCCCGCCGCCGUCGGGCCACCAUCUGCCGCCGCACCGGUCUCGUUCGAUCUGUCUCCAACCCAGCAUCCUCCCUGGCCCGGUGACAGCUCCCCUAGCGCCGCCGUGAGUGAGGAACGACGCCCGAAGCCGUUGGAAGCCGUGGUGGUUCCCUCGCCGGAGCUCCCUCCUCCGGCCACCAAAACCGGCGAUCCUUAGCUCAUUUUGUAGCCCUCCUCCCGUGCAGAAACCCCUCCAAAGAGCUCACCCUCUCUUGAGCUAGGUAAGGAGAAAUGUGGAGUUGAAAUUUCUAAGGCUUUUAGGAUGUUUUUAGUCGAUUACCCUAGUUAGGCUUGGAAUUGGUGUUUGUUCUAGUUAAGAGAGUUGUAGAGCAUGAUGAGAGGAUUAUUCUGUCAAAAUUUCAUAGGCAUUGGAGGUCGCCGGAAUCGGCCUCCGGCCGCCGGCGCCGGAGCUGUUUGGGAGAUUUUAAUGUUUUUAAAUUUGGAAUAUUAAGGGGAGUUUAUUGGAGUGAGUUAUGGAAUUUUUGGAUGAGUUUUGGAUAGGUUUGUGAAUUUCCUAAGUUUGGUAUUUUGGCGGUGGUUUAAUGUAGAAUCCGGCCGUUGGAUUAAAGUUGUUUAAACUGUGGGAAGGUGUAGUUACGGCUGCUGGUUUUAGGGUUGAAAUGUGGACCAUUUCGAAGUUAGGCAAUGACGAGCGUGUUUAUGGCUCUCGGUUAAUUUUGCCUAUUUUGCGUAAAUAUUGGAAUUUCGGACUGGGAAAUUAAUAUUAUUUUUGGAUCAGGUCGUGAGGAGGCUCGAGCUGACGAGGCCCCAGAUCGACAUCAGGCUUAGGCCUAAUUUGUGAGUGGACUUUUAUUUUAAAUAAUUUGCAGGCGAAAUAAUUUAUGUGGUUAGAGAAUAACCGAAAUUGAGAAUUUCGGUGAGUAUGUAUAUAUAUCCAUAUUUGGAUGAUUAUGAGAAUAAUAUGUAUAUGAGGGAAUGCUAGCUAGCUAUACGUGCUUUUCCCACCAUACUGAGGUAAAAUUCCAUUAUGGUGCAAUGUGAGCGUUAGACGCAAUCGUCGUAGCCCUAUAUAAAUAUAAUAAUUUAUAGGGGAUAUGCGCGUAUAUAUAUAUUUAUACACCGUCUUUUCCACCAUAAUGAGGUAAAAUGGCAUUAUGGUGCGACGUGAGCGUUAGACGCAAGCGUCGUAGCCUUGUGUGAAUUUUCUAUUUGACUUUGUUGUUUCAAGAAAAUUUAUACAAGGGAUAUGACAAGUGUAAUACAUACAUAUUUUAUGUUAGCCUGAGAGGCUCUUAUUUUUGAAGUGUUGGUGACUAGUGCGGCUAGUCACGUUUCGGUAAAUUUUUGAGCUUGUUGCAUGCUGUUAACUCUUUUUCUCAGAAGUUAAUUUGGGAAGCAUAAAGAUUUAUUUUCUUUUAAAAUUUAUUUUUGUCCACUCACUCUAACGUGUUUCAAAUGUCUUCCCCUGGGCUCUUUGUUUUAAAAUGUCCAGUCUACAGAGUUCGGGUUGGAUCUAGUAGGAGGCGAAGCUUAGUCACCAGUUUUUCUGCCAGUUUUCAUCAGUAGGUUACAUGUUUAACCUACUAGUGUUUUCUUGCUUCCGCUAGUGUCUAGUAGCUCUGAAUACUUUGGGAUUAUUGUAUAUUAUUUCGGUAGUGUGCUCGGUCGGUUGACUUCAUGUCACAUCCCGACCCUUAUAUUUUUACCUUAUUUACUAGCCUGAUUAUAAUAAAAAUUUUACCGUCUCGAUCAUUGAGUAAAUAGUUUAAUUGGUCCCUAGAGGGGUUUCGGGGACGAUUAUGUGCGGAGGAUUAUUAGUAUGAGGAAAAUACGACGACGGUAAAGAUGGUAAAUUUUAGCUAGUAAAAGGUAAUUUUUAUUCGGGUAUUAUUUUUUCGGGGUGUUUUUAUUUUUUUGGAAGUGGGUUGAUAUAGGUUGGACCGGUGGAGGCCCAACCCAUUUUCUUUUUCCUCCUCCCUUUCUCUUUUUCCCUCUUUUCUUUUCCUCUCCCCGAGCCUCCCGCUGCCCGGUUUUCCGGCUGUCCUCCCGCCGCCGUCCGACCUCCGUUCGCCGCCGGACCGGUCCCGUUCGGUCGGUCUCCCUCCCAGCAACAUUUCUAGACCGGUGAGAGGAGCCCUAGCGCCGCCGUGAGAGAGCGGUGCCGCCCGAAAGCAAGGGCUGUCCCGAACUUCCCUUCGCCGGAACUUCCUCCUCCGGCCACCAAUCCGGGCAAGCUUGGUACGGUUUUGUAGCCCUCCUCCCGUGCAACAACCCCUCCAAACAGCUCCCUCCCUCUUGAGCUAGGUAAGGAGAAAUUUGAGGUGGAAGUUUUAUGGUGUUUAAGUUGUUUUCAUUCGAUUAGCCUAGUUAGGCUUGGAAUUGGGUGAUGUGUUAGUCAUGAAAAUUGUAAAGGAGAUUGAGAGGAAGAUUCUGUUAAAAUUUGGUAGCAUUUGCAGGUCGCCGGAAAACGGCUGCCGGCCGCCGCUGCCGGCGGCGGCGCCGCCGGUUAGGAGAUUUUUAGGGUUUUAAAUGUGGAAUAUUAAGAGGAGUAUAUUGGUGUGAUUUAUGGAAUUUUUGGAUGAGAUUUGGAUAGGUUUGUGAUUUUCCGAAGUUUGGUAUUUUUGGCGGUUAAUUAAUGUAGAAUCCGGCCGUAGGAUUUAAGUCGUAUUUUGAGGAGGUUAUAUUUAUGACUGUGGAGUAUGAUAUUUAAGUUCGGAUCGUCCGAUGUAAGAAUAUCGAAGUUAGGCAAUAAUGAGCGUAAUUAUGGCUCUCGGGUAAUUUUGCCUAUUUUGAUUAAAUAUUGGAUUAUUGGUUGGGAAAUUAAUAUUUUAUUUGGAACAGGACGUGAGGAGGCUCGAGCAGACGAGACCCCAGAUCGAUAUCAGGCUUAGGCCUAAUUUGUGAGUGGACGUUUAUUUUAAAUAAAUGCAUGCUAAAAUUCACGAUUGAAUAAUUAAUGUCGUGGAGUAUUUUGACGUUAUCUUAAUUUUUGACGAUUUUUACUUCUCUUGGAGAGAUACCGAAAAUGGGAUUUUCGGUGGAUAUAAAUAUGUAUUUAUGAGAGAGUAUGUAUAGAAAAUGCUAGCUAGCCAUAUGUGUCUGUCCACCUUAAUGGCGUAGCAUAUAGCCGCAUUAUGGUGUGACGUGAGCGUUGGACGUAAGCGUAGUAGCCCUAUUUGAGUGUUUAAUUCAUAUAGGGGGUAUGGACACAUAUUUAUACACCCGUCUGUCCACCUUGAUGGCGUAGUGUAGCACCGCAUUAAGGCGUGACGUGAGCGUUGGACGCGAGCGUAGUAGCCCUAUAUAGACCCAUGAAUUUAUAUAGGGAGUAUGGACGAGUGUAAAUACAUACAUAUAUUAUAGAGUCUGAGAGGCUCGAUAUUUUAUGGGAUAAAAGUUUUAUCGCUUGCGGCAUGCAUUCGAUUUUUCCUUAGAAAUUAAUUUGGGGAAACAUAAAUAUUUUAUUUAUUAUUUUAUUUUUGUCCACUCACUCUAACGUUAUUAAAUGUUUUCCCCUGGGCCCUUCGUUUUAAAUUGCCCAGUCUGUAGAGUUCGGGUUGGAUCUAGUAGGAGACGAGGCAUAGUCACCCGCAUUUCUGCCAGUUUUCGCUAGUAGGUUACCUGUUCAACCUACUCGUGUUUUCUUGCUUCCGCUUGUGUUUAGUAGCUCUGAAUACUUUAGAAUUUUUGUAUAUUAUGCGAUGUUCAGAAGUGAUAAAUUGAGAGUGUAAUUUGAAAUUUUCGAGUUAGGGUUGUCCAUCUGCAAGGGAGAUUUUCUUAAUCUUUUCAGUAAAUUUUCCUUGGAGGUGGUCCCCGCACGACUUACUCUGGGUUUCAGGGUGAAAUUCGGGGUGGGUCGUGUCACUUCAUGUUUAGAAUUUCUGAAGGAUAAGAUUUGCUGUUUUUAGCUGGAUAAGUAUGUGACGUUUGGACGUGCUGUAAUAAGAGUAAAUCUGAAUUUUUCGAGUUAGGGUUGUCCAUUUUCAAGGGAGGUUUUAUCAAUUUUUAUGGUAAAUUUUCUUUGGAGGUAGUCCCCGCAUGACUUACUCCGGGUUUCAAGGUGAAAUUCGGGGUGGGUCUUGUCAGUAUUAUUUUUUGGGGUGUUAAUUUUUACUGUUAGGUUUUAAAUGGUGGGUUGUGGAACCGGUUUGGAGGCCCAAACCUUAAUUCUCUCUAUCUUUCCCCGACUCUCUCCUCUCCCUCGAUUCUUCUUCCUUCGCCGGUGUUCUCCUCCAUUGCCUGCCGCCGUCCGGCCAGCUCCGGCCGCCACACCGGUCCCCAUCGAACCAUCGCCUUCUCCUCUUCAUUCCUGGAUAGGUGAUCGAGCUGUUGUCGCCGCCAUGUGGAGGUAAUCACCCCUGGAAGUCCGGCUGCCCUUCCGCCGGAGCUCCCUCCUCCGGCCACCAUAGCCAGAGCCACUUGGCUUGUUUGAAAGCCCUCCUCCCGUGCAGCAAUCCCUCCAAAGGAUUCACUCCCCCUUGGUCUAGGUAAGGAUAUUUUGGUGUUGGAAAUUCUAGGGCUCAAUUUUAUGUUUUGGUUCGAUUACCCUAGUUAGGCUUGGAAUUAGGCUUUGUGCUAGUUUGGAAAGUUGUAGUAGCCUUGUAUGAAUUUCUAUUUUUGUUAUAUUUUUUUCAUAAGAAAUCAUACGAGUUUGACGAGUGUAAAUACAUACAUAUAUAUAAGUUUAUAUAUAGUUAGCCUGAGAGGCUCCAUUUUAUUAAGUUUUGGAGACUAGCCGGAGCUAGUCAUGUAUUUGCCAGUUUAUGAGUUGAGAGCUUUUGAGCUUGUCGCAUGCAGCGUAAAUUUUCCACAGAAAUUAAAUUGGGAAAGCAUAAAGAUUUUGAUUGCUCGUUUCUUUUAAAUUUACUUUUGUCCACUCACUCUAAUGUGUUUCAAAUGUUUUCCCUUGGGCCUUUCGGUUUUAAAUGCCUAGUUUGCAGGUUAGCAUAGUUGAGGUCGAGCGUACAUGAAGACGAGAUAUAGUCAAUAGUAUAGCUUCCGCUCAUAUAUAUAAAUAUAUAUAUUUCUAGUUCCUUUCUUCUUUGUUAGGGCUCUGAACCUGUGAUUGUUGGUUGUGGGAUUGUGAGUCUUAAAGUUAGUAAAUAAAUUGGGAGAUGUUGUGUUUUGGGGAGCACGAAAGCUCUAGGAGUUAUAAGGUUGGAGUUCGAACUUUUAGUAGUGUUUGCUGGUGUUUUUAUUUAGGAAUGGUUGUCUAUUUUUAAGGAAUGUUAUGCCGGAUUUUCGGUAAAUUUUCCUUGAAGGUGGACCCCGCAGGAUUUAAUUCAGGUUUCAGGGUGAAAUCCGGGGUGGGUCCUGACAUUAGACAUGGAUAUGGGCCUGAUUUGGUCUUUUCCUACGUGGGGGUAAUCUUUGGUGUGUCGUUCCUUCUUGCUAGUUGCUACGGUCAUUUUCUCCCAUUACUCAUUUUCUAAUUGAUCAUAAACAAAAAAUAAAAAAUUAAUUUUGGGCCCAGCCCAAGUUAACAGCAGUGAUCUCUCCUUUCCCUUUGGUUUAGGCCCGGCCCAUGUUAUGGAAAUUAGCCCAAUUAGGGCAGUUAUGUAUUUCUCUUUACAUCAAAUUAUUUUAUUAGAUUUUGGUAAUUUACUGCUUCCAAUAAGUCCUGAUCUGGAUAUGUGGGCUACGUCCCGACUUGCUCAUCUUGCGUACGAUGUUUUCUCUGGGUAGGCAGCGAGUUGCUUAUUUCGUCAAAUGGUCGCAGCCUCCUAAUAGCAAGAUGAAACUUAAACUUAGUCACUGGUAAAAUGUCAGGACCCACCCCGAAUUUCACGCUGAAACCCGAGAUAAAUCCUACGGGGUCCACCUCCUAGAAAAAUUUAUCGAAAAUUCGGCAUAAUCUACCUUGAAAAUAGACAAUCCUUACCUGAAAAAUCCAACUUAAACUUCAAUAACCAAACAAACCAGCCUCAACACCUAGAGCCUUCCUGCUCCCCAAGUUCAUCACAUCUCCCAAAAUAUCAAAUACUAACUUCUGGAAUUCCACAACCAACAACAAAGACAACAUUAAUUCACUAACUGAUUAUCAGAGCAUAUCUAAUAAUGAAAGAAUAACAAUGAAUAAAGAUUAAGCGGAAGCAGCCUCUGAAUAUGCCUCGACUCCAUGUACGCUCGACCUCAAUUAAACUUAGCCUGCAAACUGGGCAUUUAAAACCAAAGGGCCCAGGGGAAAGCAAUUUUAAAAACAUUAGAGUGAGUGGACAAAAAUAAAUUAAACAAUUUAACAAAAUACGUAAUUUAAAUACUUUUCCACGUUUCAAUUUUAAAAACUUAGUUGCACGCAACUUUCGUAGAUCAUAUAACUUAAAUUCCAGAAACCCAAUAGAAUGGACAAAGAGCCCCGCUGGUUAAUCAAAUAAAGAAAUCUCGUAAGAGAUAAAUCAGCCCCGCUGGUUAAUCAAAUACAUAACUGAGAAAAUAAAAUAAGAGGAAGAGUUAUCACUAUCUAAGAGGAGCCUCCAAGGCUCGGGUCGGUGCCUACCAGGCUAUAGUAGCGUCCCACGCUAAGUGCUCAACUCACCUAUGGUGAGGACCGCUAAAUAAAGCUAGCUAGCAAUAAAUAAUAAUAUCCGAUCGGUGCCUCCCAGGCUAUAGUAGCGUCCUAUGCUAAGCGCUCGACUCACCUAUAGUGAGGACCGUUAAUAAAGCUAGCUAGUAAUGAAAUAUAAACGACCCUAUAUUAUGCUGACUAAAAACAUACGAAAUCACUUAAAUCCAUUAAACUUCCCCAAGAUCAUACGAAUGGUAUGGUUCCCAACCGUACUUGAAAAUCAUCAUAAAAAAUUAUAUUAAAACUCAAUGACAUGUCUCACACGUCAAAAUAUUCUCAAAGCCAUAAUAUAAACAAGGUUUAAUUAACAAGUAAAAAUCAUAAUUAAUAUCUCAAACCAAAAUACUCGCUAAAAUAUUCUCAAGGUCAAGAUCGAUAUUCCAUAAAUAAAUACGAAAAUUAUAAAUAGCGAACUACCGAAAAUCCCAUUUUCGGAAACCUUUUGUAAAUCUCAAAGUCCACAAAUAAAACAAUCAUAAUGAAAUCCGGAAUUUAUAAAGAAUAUCCAAACUCAAAUACCAAAUUAAUAAUCCAAGCUCAAAUCCAUGAAUCAUGACCAACCAUUAAUCAAUGCUUCAAACUCAAAAUUUCCAAGAUCAUCUCAUAAGCCGAAAUUAUAAUAUAAACUUGGAAAAUAAAAUAAUAUAUUAUUAAAUCUUGCAUGCAUAUUUAUUUAAAACCAAAAUGUCCACUCACAAAUUUAGGCAUAAGCCCGACGAUACCCGAAUCGCCACUCAAGUGAGGUUCCCUUCAUAUCCUAGCACAAUAACCAUGCUUAGAACCAAACUUGAAUUCCAAAAAAUAAAUACUUAAAUAUAAACUCCAAAACUCUUCCGCUUAACUCACUACCCUUACUAGGGUUAUGUUCACCGGAUUCCCACCAAACUCCACCACAACCUUAAUUCAUCAAUUCUAACAUUCUAGAAUAAUUACCAAGGAAAUCCAACGGCCGGAUUUUCAUUUUAACAACCGCCAAAAUUUUCAAUCUUUGAAAAAUCCCAAACCUAACCAAAACUCUUCCAAAAAUUCCAAACUUCACAUCAUUAAACUCCUCUCAUUAAAACAAACUCAAAAACAUGAAAAACUACCCCAAAGCGGCGGCGGCCGGUCAGCCCAAUUCCGGCGACCUCUAUUGGCUACCAAAUUCUGACACAAUCUUCCUCUCAACAUUCCAAACAACUUUCAUAACUACCACAAAGUCCAAUUUCAAGCCUAACAAGGGUAAUCGAAGCCAAACAUUAAAAAUCCCAAAUUUAAAACCCUAAAAUUUCAAACCUUCGAUUCUCCUUACCUAGCUCGAAUCUUUUUAGGGGUUUGCUACUGGAAGGGAGAGCUUCCAAAUGAUACCAACAGCUCCAGCUAUGGUGGCCGAAAAAGAGAGUUUCCGGUGGAAACACCUCCCACUACCAGGACAAGCAUUUUAGCCGACGAAAAAGUUAGCUUAAUUCGUCGGCUAAGAUCUUACCCGACUAGCCUUCGUCGGCUAUAGUUUCGUCAGGAAAAAGGCGUCGGCGAUGACUUUAACAGACGAAACUAGAAAACGUCGUCGGCUAUUGUCACAGUAUUUAGCCGACGACAGAAGACGUCGUCGACCAUAGUUUGAGAUUUAAGCCGACGAAACAUUUAAGAUAUUAGUCGGCUAAAGUAUGUAAUAAAAAAUUAAAAAAUAACUGUAGCCGACGAAAUAUAAUCUGUUUCGUCGGCUAAAGCCGACGAAACAUGCCAUAAUUCGUCGGCUAAACCUUAUAAAAAAACUUAAAAAAUACUAUAGCCGACGAAUAUAAUCGGCUAAAGUAUUUAAAUAUUGUCGGCUAAAGUUGCUAGUUUUUGAAAAAAAAAACUGCAGAAACUUUCGGCCACCUCCAAUCACCAUCAAAAUUUGACAAAAUCUUCCUCUCAACAUUUCGAACAACUUUCUAGAAGAAGUCGAAGCCCAAUUUUAAGCCUAAACAGGUCAAUUGAAUCAAAAUAUAAAAAUCUCCAAUUUUAAACCCUAAAAACUUCAAAUCUUCGAUUCCCCUCACACACUCUGAAUCGAGCUACUAAAUUCUAGGGGAAUGUAGUACUAAUUAAACUCAACUUAUCCAUAUAUAGAACUCACCAAAUAGUGACCUAAGGAAGGAGAAAUUCGAUCGACACCGAAUCCGAACCGGCGGAGUUUUGGAGCUCGAUUUAUCCCUCACGGCGGUGCCACUCGAUGCACCACAUGUCCAUCAAUGAAAUAGAGACGACGGCGAAGCUUUUGGGAGAAGUGUGGCGGUCUGCGGUGGCUUGACAGCGGAACUAGGCCGAGAAGAAAAUCCGGCAGGCGAAACAAUAACUUUUUCUGAUUUUCUGACUCCUUACCAUCCACCUCCGGUAAAACUCCUAUAUAAAGAACUUUACUCGACGAAAUUCUUUAUUUUCGUCGCCUAAACUCUUUUGAAAAUUUUGGUUGACCGCUAAAAUUUUUUUGACAAUAGCCGAUGAAAUCAUAUAUUUUCGUCGGUUUAAGUCCUUUGAAAAUUUUCCUCCGAAUUUGGUUUGCCGCCAAAUUUUUUUUGACAUUAGCCGACGAUUUUUUUAAUAUCUCGUCGGCUAAAGUCUAAAAAUUCACGAAAACGCUUAUAUCUCCCUCUAUAUCACGAAAAACUUUCACGUAGAUGAGACGCAACCGCCUAUAUAAAAAUUUUGAGACAUUUACCUUCCGACGAUAGGGCUCCCCAUAGGGAAUAAUAACGGUAAAUAGGGUUGACCGCUACUAUCGGCACCGAGAUGUUACCCGAUUUAUAUGAUUUUUGAACCAUAGCUUUAUUUCACCAUUCUAAACACAUCUUAUUUCACGAGAAUUUUGAUAAUUUUGCUUCCUUUGUAGAGUUGGUUCACAAAGUUGUAUAACCUACUAAACAAGUUAUACUACAACAUUAGUAAACACGUUGUGAUUCCGAUGACUACAAUUCACAAACCAAAAUUUGACCGUCAGAUAUGAUCAUUAUGACGAAAGAUGUCUAUGGUAAAAAAUUCAACUGGAUUCGACAACGUUAUGGGCUCGAUCGAAACGGUCAACUCUAAUUGGAAAUAAGAAAACUGCAUUUUGAAGCCCUAAACGGACUCAUAUGGCCCAAAAGGCCCAUAUAUCAUGGAAAUGCCAUGAGUUUGACUCCUAGGGCCGUUACGCUUCCGGAAAGGUAUCAGAAUAGUCAAUCGGACACCGAACACCAAAUCUGCAACAUACCGGGUUUCGACUGUUCUACAUCAGAGACGUUACCCGAUUUAAGUGAUUUUUGAACCAUAGCCGUAUUUCACCAUUUUGAACACAUCUUAUUUCACGAGAUUUUUGUUAAUUUUGCUUCUAUGUAGAGUUGGUUCACAAAGUUGUGUAUUUAUUUAAAACCUACUAAGCAAGUUAUACAACAUUUUAUUGUUUUUCUUUUAGCCGAUGGAUAAUAACCGACGAGAUUUUUUUCGUCUAGUAAAAUACUUUAGCCGACGAGUAAAAACUUUGGCCGUCGAAGGAAAACUUUGGCCGACGAAAAAAAAUUUCGUCGGCUAAAGUAUAGUAUAGCCGACGAA
This 10230-nucleotide long non-coding RNA is filed under the name Fragaria vesca (wild strawberry). RNAcentral describes it as "long non-coding RNA (FVES_LNC005451)". The record is from RNAcentral. Lineage: Eukaryota; Viridiplantae; Streptophyta; Magnoliopsida; Rosales; Rosaceae.